AGCAGUCGCCGCGGGAAUACGGAGGGUGCAAGCGUUAUCCGGAUUCACUGGGUUUAAAGGGUGCGUAGGCGGAUCUGUAAGUCAGUGGUGAAAUCUCCAGGCUUAACCUGGAAGCUGCCGUUGAUACUAUAGGUCUUAAAUUUUGUGGAGGUUAGCGGAAUAUGUCAUGUAGCGGUGAAAUGCACAGAUAUGACAUAGAACACCAAUUGCGAAGGCAGCUGGCUACACAACUAUUGACGCUGAGGCACGAAAGCGUGGGGAUCAAACAGGAUUAGAGACCCCUGUAGUCCCUGUCUCUUAUAC
RNAcentral lists this ribosomal RNA (303 nucleotides) under uncultured bacterium. RNAcentral describes it as "partial 16S ribosomal RNA". It matches the Rfam family "Bacterial small subunit ribosomal RNA", at positions 507 to 807 of the family's 1533-position model. The record is from RNAcentral.